UACAGAGGUCUCAAGCGUUGUUCGGAUUCAUUGGGCGUAAAGGGUGCGUAGGCGGCGCGGUAAGUCGGGUGUGAAAUCUCGGAGCUUAACUCCGAAACUGCAUUCGAUACUGCCGUGCUUGAGGACUGGAGAGGAGACUGGAAUUUACGGUGUAGCGGUGAAAUGCGUAGAUAUCUGGAGGAACACCGGUGGCGAAGGCGGCGUUCUGGACUGCAACUGACACUGAUAAACGAAAGCCAGGGGAGCAAACGGG
RNAcentral lists this ribosomal RNA (253 nucleotides) under uncultured bacterium. RNAcentral's name for it is "partial 16S ribosomal RNA". It matches the Rfam family "Bacterial small subunit ribosomal RNA", at positions 524 to 776 of the family's 1533-position model. The record is from RNAcentral.